AGCGAACGCUGGCGGCAGGCCUAACACAUGCAAGUCGAACGAACUCUUCGGAGUUAGUGGCGGACGGGUGAGUAACACGUGGGAACGUGCCUUUUGGUUCGGAAUAACUCAGGGAAACUUGUGCUAAUACCGAGUGUGCCCUUCGGGGGAAAGAUUUAUCGCCAUUGGAGCGGCCCGCGUCUGAUUAGCUAGUUGGUGAGGUAACGGCUCACCAAGGCGACGAUCAGUAGCUGGUCUGAGAGGAUGACCAGCCACACUGGGACUGAGACACGGCCCAGACUCCUACGGGAGGCAGCAGUGGGGAAUCUUGCGCAAUGGGCGAAAGCCUGACGCAGCCAUGCCGCGUGAAUGAUGAAGGUCUUAGGAUUGUAAAAUUCUUUCACCGGGGACGAUAAUGACGGUACCCGGAGAAGAAGCCCCGGCUAACUUCGUG
Molecule: ribosomal RNA, 433 nt
Filed under: uncultured bacterium
Lineage: Bacteria
Description: partial 16S ribosomal RNA
Rfam family: Bacterial small subunit ribosomal RNA
Source: RNAcentral